GACGAACGCUGGCGGCGUGCUUAACACAUGCAAGUCGAGCGGAAAGGCCCUUCGGGGUACUCGAGCGGCGAACGGGUGAGUAACACGUGAGUAACCUGCCCCAGACUUUGGGAUAACCCUCGGAAACGGGGGCUAAUACCGGAUACGACACAGCUUCGCAUGGGGUCUGUGUGGAAAGUUUUUCGGUUUGGGAUGGGCUCGCGGCCUAUCAGCUUGUUGGUGGGGUGAUGGCCUACCAAGGCGACGACGGGUAGCCGGCCUGAGAGGGCGACCGGCCACACUGGGACUGAGACACGGCCCAGACUCCUACGGGAGGCAGCAGUGGGGAAUAUUGCACAAUGGGCGGAAGCCUGAUGCAGCGACGCCGCGUGAGGGAUGACGGCCUUCGGGUUGUAAACCUCUUUCAGCAGGGACGAAGCGUAAGUGACGGGACCUGCAGAAGAAGCGCCGGCCAACUACGU
This 461-nucleotide ribosomal RNA is filed under the name uncultured bacterium. RNAcentral describes it as "partial 16S ribosomal RNA". It matches the Rfam family "Bacterial small subunit ribosomal RNA", at positions 28 to 506 of the family's 1533-position model. The record is from RNAcentral.